This 701-nucleotide long non-coding RNA is filed under the name Manihot esculenta (cassava). RNAcentral's name for it is "long non-coding RNA (MESC_LNC010196)". Lineage: Eukaryota; Viridiplantae; Streptophyta; Magnoliopsida; Malpighiales; Euphorbiaceae. The record is from RNAcentral.
AAGAUUAGGUGAUACUUUGGUUGUUUUAUGGAUUGGGAGACUUGAUCAAACAUUGUUUAUCUUUUGGUUGUUCAAUAUUUAUGCAAUUUCAUGCUUGAUUUCAAUAUUGCUUUGUUGUUUAGAUCUACGCUGAUUCUUGAUUGCAAAGUAAUAAUAUGUUAGUUUGGAUGAUUUAAGUCCGUAAUUGCUUGGAUUAUUCAAACAUAAGAACACUUGGUGUAAAAACUAAGGAAGUUGCAUGAUCUAGUGUUGUCACCAUACGUUUGGGUAACUAGGAUCAGAUCUCUCUCUUUCUUAAUGCAAUUAACAAUUGUUUUGAUGCCUAAGGCCCAAGGAUGUUCCUUGGCAAUUUGUUAAUUAGUAAUUAAUUAGAGGACGUUCCCUAAUUGGUUUAAUCAUAAGGAGAGAUAAUGUUGGUGAGAAGCGUCUUCCAUCUCCAUAACUAAUCUAUUGAAUUAAUUAAAGGAAACUAAGAGUCAAUGAUCAAUCCCAACAAUUGAAGUGGAUCCAAUUCUUCAACUAGAGCUUUCUUAUUAUUGAUUUCUCUUUAUUUUUAUUAUUUGUUUUAUUUUUAUUGCUUUCAGUUUUAGAUUAAUUAAAUCAAUCUCAAAAUCCCCCCAUUUUACUUUCAGUUUUAUCUCGUUUUAGUUUAUUUUGCUUUCCGUUUAUUUCUCUUUCAGUUUUAUCUCGUUUCAGUUUUA